GACGAACGCUGGCGGCGUGCUUAACACAUGCAAGUCGAACGGAAAGGCCCUGCUUUUGUGGGUUGCUCGAGUGGCGAACGGGUGAGUAACACGUGAGUAACCUGCCCUUGACUUUGGGAUAACUUCAGGAAACUGGGGCUAAUACCGGAUAGGAGAUCCUGCUGCAUGGUGGGGGAUGGAAAGUUUCGGCGGUUGGGGAUGGACUCGCGGCUUAUCAGCUGGUUGGUGGAGUAGUGGCUUACCAAGGCUUCGACGGGUAGCCGGCCUGAGAGGGUGACCGGCCACAUUGGGACUAAGAUACGGCCCAGACUCCUACGGGAGGCAGCAGUGGGGAAUAUUGCACAAUGGGCGGAAGCCUGUUGCAGCAACGCCGCGUGCGGGAUGACGGCUUUCGGGUUGUAAACCGCUUUCGCCUGUGACGAAGCGUGAGUGACGGUACUGGGUAAAGAAGCACCGGCUAACUACGUG
This 468-nucleotide ribosomal RNA is filed under the name uncultured bacterium. RNAcentral's name for it is "partial 16S ribosomal RNA". It matches the Rfam family "Bacterial small subunit ribosomal RNA", at positions 28 to 507 of the family's 1533-position model. The record is from RNAcentral.